AAAUUGAAGAGUUUGAUCAUGGCUCAGAUUGAACGCUGGCGGCAGGCCUAACACAUGCAAGUCGAGCGGAAACGAGUUAUCAGAACCUUCGGGGGACGAUAACGGCGUCGAGCGGCGGACGGGUGAGUAAUGCCUAGGAAAUUGCCCUGAUGUGGGGGAUAACCAUUGGAAACGAUGGCUAAUACCGCAUGAUGCCUACGGGCCAAAGAGGGGGACCUUCGGGCCUCUCGCGUCAGGAUAUGCCUAGGUGGGAUUAGCUAGUUGGUGAGGUAAGGGCUCACCAAGGCGACGAUCCCUAGCUGGUCUGAGAGGAUGAUCAGCCACACUGGAACUGAGACACGGUCCAGACUCCUACGGGAGGCAGCAGUGGGGAAUAUUGCACAAUGGGCGCAAGCCUGAUGCAGCCAUGCCGCGUGUGUGAAGAAGGCCUCGGGUUGUAAAGCACUUUCAGUCGUGAGGAAGGUAGUGUAGUUAAUAGCUGCAUUAUUUGACGUUAGCGACAGAAGAAGCACCGGCUAACUCCGUGCCAGCAGCCGCGGUAAUACGGAGGGUGCGAGCGUUAAUCGGAAUUACUGGGCGUAAAGCGCAUGCAGGUGGUUUGUUAAGUCAGAUGUGAAAGCCCGGGGCUCAACCUCGGAAUUGCAUUUGAAACUGGCAGACUAGAGUACUGUAGAGGGGGGUAGAAUUUCAGGUGUAGCGGUGAAAUGCGUAGAGAUCUGAAGGAAUACCGGUGGCGAAGGCGGCCCCCUGGACAGAUACUGACACUCAGAUGCGAAAGCGUGGGGAGCAAACAGGAUUAGAUACCCUGGUAGUCCACGCCGUAAACGAUGUCUACUUGGAGGUUGUGGCCUUGAGCCGUGGCUUUCGGAGCUAACGCGUUAAGUAGACCGCCUGGGGAGUACGGUCGCAAGAUUAAAACUCAAAUGAAUUGACGGGGGCCCGCACAAGCGGUGGAGCAUGUGGUUUAAUUCGAUGCAACGCGAAGAACCUUACCUACUCUUGACAUCCAGAGAACUUUCCAGAGAUGGAUUGGUGCCUUCGGGAACUCUGAGACAGGUGCUGCAUGGCUGUCGUCAGCUCGUGUUGUGAAAUGUUGGGUUAAGUCCCGCAACGAGCGCAACCCUUAUCCUUGUUUGCCAGCGAGUAAUGUCGGGAACUCCAGGGAGACUGCCGGUGAUAAACCGGAGGAAGGUGGGGACGACGUCAAGUCAUCAUGGCCCUUACGAGUAGGGCUACACACGUGCUACAAUGGCGCAUACAGAGGGCAGCCAACUUGCGAAAGUGAGCGAAUCCCAAAAAGUGCGUCGUAGUCCGGAUUGGAGUCUGCAACUCGACUCCAUGAAGUCGGAAUCGCUAGUAAUCGUGGAUCAGAAUGCCACGGUGAAUACGUUCCCGGGCCUUGUACACACCGCCCGUCACACCAUGGGAGUGGGCUGCAAAAGAAGUAGGUAGUUUAACCUUCGGGGGGACGCUUACCACUUUGUGGUUCAUGACUGGGUGAAGUCGUAACAAGGUAGCGCUAGGGGAACCUGGCGCUGGAUCACCUCCUUAAACGAUGAU
RNAcentral lists this ribosomal RNA (1560 nucleotides) under Vibrio parahaemolyticus. RNAcentral describes it as "bacterial SSU rRNA". It matches the Rfam family "Bacterial small subunit ribosomal RNA". The record is from RNAcentral. Lineage: Bacteria; Pseudomonadati; Pseudomonadota; Gammaproteobacteria; Vibrionales; Vibrionaceae.